GUCCUGGCAAACAGAUUAAACGAGGUACUGGGAAAAGUAGUUUCCAAGUUUCAGAAUGCAUUUGUAAAAGGGCAUCAGAUUUUGAACUCUGUGCUUAUAGAAAAUGAAUGCAUAGAUUCAAUAAUGCUCCUACGGGCCCCAAGGAUGCUUCGUAAGCUAGAUAUUCAGAAGGCUUACGACCAUGUGAAUUGGGGUUUCUUGUUAUAUAUGCUCAGGCGCUGUGGCUUUGGGAAUAAAUGGUGUAAAUGGAUUCAAUUCUGUAUUUCUACUGUUUCAUUCUCAGUUUUGGUCAACGGAACACCAGAGGGUUAUUUCCGGAGCAGUAGAGGCUUGAGACAAGAGGAUCCAUUGUUCCCAUUGUUAUUUGUCAUUGUGAUGGAGGCUCUCAGUAGGAUGAUUGAAAGAGCAAUGAGAGCGGGUUUGAAAGGGAUUUUAUGGUUGAUCAAUUGCAGGUGUCUCAUCUGUUAUUUGCAGAUGUCAUGAUGUUAUGUGAUGC
Molecule: long non-coding RNA, 496 nt
Filed under: Olea europaea subsp. europaea
Lineage: Eukaryota; Viridiplantae; Streptophyta; Magnoliopsida; Lamiales; Oleaceae
Source: RNAcentral